Molecule: long non-coding RNA, 5196 nt
Filed under: Canis lupus familiaris (dog)
Lineage: Eukaryota; Metazoa; Chordata; Mammalia; Carnivora; Canidae
Description: lncRNA (ENSCAFG00000057450.1)
Source: RNAcentral
AAAGAGAAAGUAGGCAAUUUUUAUUUAUGAUAUUAAAUUCUUGCUCUCACUUUCAAAUGGAUACAGUACAGGCUUUUUUUUUUUUUUUAACAUACAAUGCUCUCCAAGCAUAUUUAAAAUGUUAUACAGUUUACAAAAUUAGAUUUGUAUGCAUUUUUUCCCAAAAUUAUGUAAAAAAUUAUGUUACAUCUCUAACAGAUUGAAUAUCUGCAAUAAAUUAUAUCAACAGAGGAGGUUUUAUGGCAAUUAACAAGUGCCUUUAAAAAGUAAUUGAUGAUUCAAUAGUAUUCCUAACUAUUAUUUUUGAAAGAGUUUUAGACAUUUUAACGAGCAGUUUCAGGGCUAAUUGUUACUGUUGUUAUUUUUAGAAACAUGGCAGAGUCUAAGUACCAAUUUGCUCUGCUAUCUACAUAUUUGCCUAAUUUCUACAAGUGAUGAAAUGUAGCUGUCCUCACAGGAGUUGUCCUUUGGCAUCAAUUUGAGAUUUAGUUCAGGAGGAGGAGAGAAAGGGGAAAACUGGUGCAGGGCAGGGCGUCCACCCACCCAUGCACCUAUGUGCUCUGGAAUGAAAGCACACCAUGUCAGACAGCUUUAUAUUGUGAUAAGCAAAGGGUGGGAUUCUGAAACCAUAUUUAGAAUCCUCUUAAAAUCUUGUCCCCAGAGUAUCGAUUCUUUUUAGACUGUAUCUUGUAGGAUUGCCAGAGGCUCUCCUUUCAAACAUUUCUUUCUAUCAGUAGGAGGUUGACUGAAGGACACCAAAUCAGUAUUUUUUUUUAAAGUAGUACAGCUUUUACUUCCUUUUGGUUCAAUUGAUAACUUUUGACUGGCCUUUCAAGUUCUUUGAUUCAUUAGGGAUAACAUCUUCACUAUAUGUAUGGGGAAGUUUAGGACUUGGUAAUAAAAGUGAACAAGUGAAGGUCUUGAGGCAAGAAUCAGAAGGGCUCUGCACAUGGGUCAUAUGCUGGAAAUGUUGGAGUUGGGAGUUCUAAUUCUAUGUAUCUAUCUAUCCAUCUAUCCAUCUAUCUAUAUCUAUCUACCUAUGUCUCUAUCUACCUCUGCUUACCAUCUUUCUCUCUGUCUCUCUUAUCUUUCUCUCCAUCAAUCUUUGCAGCUCAUGGAAGAGAUGGAUCUGGAAAAGGCAUUCAUCUCACAAUGGUCUCUGCUCGAUCACUGUAACUUGCUGUGGUCUGUGAUCAAACUUUAGGCAAACAUUAGACCACAGAAGCGAGUACAGACACGAUUGCAUGGUCUCUGUGGGUUAUAGAAACAGAAUGAGGCUGCUAUUUGAUUAAGGGCUGGAGGAAUCUAGUUGCAAUCACAAAUGCAAACCAGAGCAGGUGAAAGAUAUUAGCAAGGCAUGCAUGAAUUUGAAUACGAUAUCGUUGGGAGAUAGAACUUAAGCAUUAACACAAAGCUUUCCUUAUUCUUCCUGGCAUCUCCAUUUGGGUCACUUUAGGACCGUGCCAACUUUUCUCAAUGGAGCUUUUUAAGAUCACACAAGAUUUCCCGUUCAAACAACAGAAAAAGCACUUGUAAUUUUCCAUUUUUCAAGGUCACCUAUAGAAUGUAUUUGGAUUCUUCUUUUAUAUUAAGUGAGCUCUAUGUCUCUGUUGUCUGAUUCAUAAGAUUGCCCCAUUAAUUAGCACUUGGAGUUAGUUUCAUAGAAAAAAAUAAAAAUAUUUUGAAAAGAUUGCCUUUAUUACCAGUGAUACAUUGGGAAUAUGUUGAACAUAUAUAUUGCAAUAUAUAUCAAAUGUAUAUUCAAGCGGAAAAUUUUUCACAGAUUUAGCCAUAAGCUUGUUUUCCAGAAACAAGGGAACAUGCCAUUAUUGCCAUAUUUAAGCCCUAGCAUUUUAUCUUUUUUAAUAUAUAUAUAGCUUAAAAGAAACCAAGACACUUUCAUGUUUACUCUGUUCGUCUGGAGCCUAUAAAAUUCUCUUUCUAAUGUUUUCUAGAAGGCUUUGUUUAAAUCCAUAUCAAUCUAUCCAUAUCUAACUGAGCUGUGGUCUCACAUAUCAUUAGUCUUUUAUCGACAAUGCCAGGCUCCAGGAAAAGUGAUGACUCAUCAAAUACAGGGUAUAACAGCUUAACUGAAGCUGACAUAGAAAAUAUGCAAGGAGACUAGUUAGAGUACAGACAAGCUCAUGCCUGUUGUAUUAAUGGGUGACAUUUUAAACAAUAGAGCUGUCAGACCCUACUGUGAAUAAAGGGGCUUAAUCAUAGCAGGAAUUAGUGCACACGACAGGUGAUUAUGUGUUGGAAACAUGCCAGGACCAUCUGUGAUGCUUCACAUUAUUUGUAAUCUCAGUAAUUGCAGCUUUGGGGAAAAAAUUAUUUGGGAUUGGAGAAUCUCGGGUUGGGGGAAGAAAUAAACAAAAAACACAUACAACCCACUUAUUUCAACAAUAGAGGUCUCUACAAAUGGGAAAAGUUCAACUCCCAUUAUCAAUUUAAGUCCAUCCUCCUUAUCACCAAUUCAACAACAAAGCAAUAUAAUCAUGGUUUUUCUUUUUUUACUUUCUCAAAGUCCAAUUAUAGUGCCUCCUCGCCAAUAAAAUAAGCCUGCUAUCAUCUACUUAUUAAACUGAGAAGAGAAUUUCUUCUAAAAUUACUUAGGCUACACUAUCUGAAGCCACUGAGGAAAACAUGAGGCUCAGUUGGAAAGGUAUUUUCUCCUGUUGGAUAUCCUGCUAUUUAGCUAUGAUAAAUAUUUGAUUACUAUCUUUUGAGGUUUAUGAAAACAGAUAAUUCUUUAACGAUUGGUAGAGAAUGAUCCAGUUGGAACCAUGGUUUAGACAAUUCCAGCCAUGAGAUACUGGAAAGCAGAACAGAAAAAUGGGAAAAAUACCAGUAAAGAUUCAUGGAGUUCAGAAACAAAAUUCUGGGCUUCUGUUUUAGUUAACCUAUAGCAAUGAGGCAGCAUGGAAAAACCACCUUGUUUUAGCUGUUGAUCUUUAGUCUUAUUUAUUGAUUGCUUUUCAAAGGAAAUAAUACCUCACGUCUUCCGUUUACUUCAUAGCCAUGUGGUUAUCACUGCAAAACGCAAUCUUGGCACCAUAUAUGUUUUCAUAUAUGUUCUUUGUAAUUGUUUAUUUUGUGAUGGUUUCAAAUUUUCAGACAGGUUGCAAGAAUACUGUGAGGAACUCCUUUAUCCUUUUAUCAAUGUCUUCAAUUAUUUACCUUUGUCCCAUCUGAUUUAUUAAGUUCCCACUGUAUAUUUGUUUAUAUUUGCGUACUUUUCUGAGCCUUUGGUAAUGUGGAGACAUUGAGACUUUUUGCACCUAAAUAUUUCAGACUAUAUUUCCCAAGAACAAGGAUAUUACCCUAUAUAACUACAGUAAUCAAAGUUGGGAAAUUUAACACUGAUACACUACUAUUAUCUGACCCACGGGCAAAACUGUCAAUUUUCCCAAUAAUGUUCUUUGUAGCUAAUUUUAUUUUCUCAUGCAGGAUGUAAUCCAGGAUUACAAAUUACACGUUGUUGUUAUGCGAAUUCAUCUCUUUUAUCCCAAACAAUCCCUCAGCCUUUUAAAAAUCUUUAUGGACAUUGCAUUUUAAAGGAGAAAAGACAUUUAUUUUACAAAAUCUUUCUCAUUUUUUACGUUUAUUUCUUCAUGAUUAGGCUAAAUGCAUGUUGUCAGGGAUCCCACAGAAGUGAUGUUGCAUCCUUCUGAGUGAGCUCUAUCAUGAGGCAUAUGAGUUUAGUUUGCCCAAUAAUGAUGGUGUUAACUUGGAUCCUUUAAUUUAGAUGAUUCUUCACAGUAGAGUUAUUAUCUUUCUAUCCAAUUAAUAAUCUGGACACCAUGUAAAUAUCCUGCUCCUCAUCAACCUUUACAGAGUUUUAGCACUCAUUGAUGCUUUUCUAGUUACACCAUUUUUUCUUCACUGGUUAGUUGGCAUUCUACUGAAAGAACAGUUGUUCCCAUCUUUCCACUUAUUUAUGUUUAUUCAUUUAUUUAUGUCAGUAUAGACACAUAGAGUCUUAUUUUCUUCAACCCAUUAUUUAUUUUUAUUUUCAUUUGGAGUAGAUAGAAGCCUCUAUAAGUUAGCUGCCACUAUAUAUCUUUUUGAUAUGUUGCCAUCAUUUUGUACUUCCUGACUGUGUCAGUUAGAGCUCCAGAGAGACACAGAACCAUGAGGAAAUGAUGAUAGAUAGAUAGAUAGAUAGAUAGAUAGAUAGAUAGAUAGAUAAUAGAUAGGUGAUAGAUAGAUAGAGGAUUUAUUGCAAAGAAUUGACUUCUAUGACUGUGGGCCUUCCUAGGCAAAUCCACAAUCUGCAGAGCCCUGGGGAAAGACCGAAACUUUUAUGCAGGAGCUGAAACUGCAGUCCUUGGGGUGAAAUUCUUCUUCACAGGGAAACCUCAGUUUGGAUCUUAAGGCCUUUUAACUACUCAGUUCAGGCCAUGCAGAUUAUCCUGGAUAAUCUACUUUUAAAGCCACCUGGUUGUAGAUGUUAAACACACGUACAGGAUACCUUCUCCACAACACAUAGCCUAGUGUUUGGUUUAAUAACUGGGGCUAGAGUCUAGCUUGUUACCGGGUGGUGGGUUGGGGAACUCCUUUGUCCUUGUCUUCUCCAAGGAAAAAAUUUAGGCGAGAGAUUAGAGAGUUAAAGUAGCAAAGUUUUUUUAUUUAUCAAAAAGUGAUAGUACACUCCAGAGACCACUCACCCAAGGGUGGAUGGCAGCGCACUGAAUUUCUCAUUGUGUCCAUGUAGGGGGUUUUAUGUGGUCUCCUCUCCUCCAUCUUACAGUUACAGUUCCAUCUUUGGGUGGGCCUUGCUUUCCUCCGCUCCAGCCCUUUGAGCAAGUUUGUGUCAGUCAUCUUCCCCGAAGGCUUAAGAGCAACCUACUGAGGGUGGGAGGGUGGGGCCAUGGUAUGUCUUAAGUGUGCAUGCUCCAAAAUUGGAGCCAUCACCGUAGAGGGUAUCUUCUGUUUCUUGGUCUGUGCUAAACCGCAAAAGGGGUUGGUCUAAGGGAGGUGGGGGGGGGGGGGGGGGGGAGGAGAACUGGUGGUCCCUAGCAGUUGUCCAUCUAUUACCCUCCUGCUCAUGUCUAUCUGUCUUCUCUAGCAAGUUGAUACAUAAACCUGACCAUGACACUUUUUGUCUGACACAAGCUCUUGCAAUUUCAUCUUGUUUCCCUGCAAGAUGAAUCAAUUGAAUUGUGGAAUCAAACUUUUCUCCCAGAAACUUUU